This 921-nucleotide ribosomal RNA is filed under the name uncultured bacterium. RNAcentral's name for it is "bacterial SSU rRNA". It matches the Rfam family "Bacterial small subunit ribosomal RNA", at positions 42 to 968 of the family's 1533-position model. The record is from RNAcentral.
GCGUGCUUAACACAUGCAAGUCGAACGAUGAAGCCUAGCUUGCUAGGUGGAUUAGUGGCGAACGGGUGAGUAAUACGUGAGUAACCUACCUUUAACUCUGGGAUAAGCCUGGGAAACUGGGUCUAAUACCGGAUACGACCAAUCUCCGCAUGGGGUGUUGGUGGAAAGCGUUAUGUAGUGGUUAUAGAUGGGCUCACGGCCUAUCAGCUUGUUGGUGAGGUAACGGCUCACCAAGGCGACGACGGGUAGCCGGCCUGAGAGGGUGACCGGCCACACUGGGACUGAGACACGGCCCAGACUCCUACGGGAGGCAGCAGUGGGGAAUAUUGCACAAUGGGCGCAAGCCUGAUGCAGCGACGCCGCGUGAGGGAUGACGGCCUUCGGGUUGUAAACCUCUGUUAGCAGGGAAGAAGAGAGACUGACGGUACCUGCAGAGAAAGCGCCGGCUAACUACGUGCCAGCAGCCGCGGUAAUACGUAGGGCGCGAGCGUUGUCCGGAAUUAUUGGGCGUAAAGAGCUUGUAGGCGGUUUGUCGCGUCUGCUGUGAAAGGCCGGGGCUUAACUCCGUGUAUUGCAGUGGGUACGGGCAGACUAGAGUGCAGUAGGGGAGACUGGAACUCCUGGUGUAGCGGUGGAAUGCGCAGAUAUCAGGAAGAACACCGAUGGCGAAGGCAGGUCUCUGGGCUGUAACUGACGCUGAGAAGCGAAAGCAUGGGGAGCGAACAGGAUUAGAUACCCUGGUAGUCCAUGCCGUAAACGUUGGGCACUAGGUGUGGGGGACAUUCCACGUUUUCCGCGCCGUAGCUAACGCAUUAAGUGCCCCGCCUGGGGAGUACGGCCGCAAGGCUAAAACUCAAAGAAAUUGACGGGGGCCCGCACAAGCGGCGGAGCAUGCGGAUUAAUUCGAUGCAACGCGAAGAA